Molecule: ribosomal RNA, 301 nt
Filed under: uncultured bacterium
Lineage: Bacteria
Description: partial 16S ribosomal RNA
Rfam family: Bacterial small subunit ribosomal RNA
Source: RNAcentral
CAGUAGCCGCGGUAAUACGUAGGGUGCGAGCGUUAAUCGGAAUUACUGGGCGUAAAGCGUGCGCAGGCGGUUGUGUAAGACAGGUGUGAAAUCCCCGGGCUUAACCUGGGAACUGCGCUUGUGACUGCACAGCUAGAGUAUGGCAGAGGGGGGUGGAAUUCCACGUGUAGCAGUGAAAUGCGUAGAGAUGUGGAGGAACACCGAUGGCGUAGGCAGCCCCCUGGGCCAAUACUGACGCUCAUGCACGAAAGCGUGGGGAGCAAACAGGAUUAGAUACCCCUGUAGUCCCUGUCUCUUAUAC